This is a long non-coding RNA of Myxocyprinus asiaticus (Chinese sucker), 589 nucleotides long. RefSeq lists it as uncharacterized. The transcript has 3 exons. NCBI's taxonomy places the organism in Eukaryota, Metazoa, Chordata, Actinopteri, Cypriniformes, Catostomidae. The record is from RefSeq and is a predicted model, not a curated record.
CAGAUAGGCGGGGGCGCACGUGUGGAGCGUGUUUAGAAGAGAACCGACGGGCUGAGGAUGUCUCGCAAUUGUUGCAUUUGCUAACAUUAAGAUGAUGUGUCCCAUACUGACUAAACCAAACAGCACAUGAACACAUAGGUUAUCCUGAUAACCAAGGAGGCACCUGCUCCCCAGAUAGCUACACAAACGGCUUGACAACACUUCCUCUGGCUAUGUUUCCACAACACCUCACUGCGUGACACAACAACGGAUUCCAAGAAGGAUGAAUGGAACAUUCUGCACUGUCCACUAUCUCUGACAUCGGAGAAUAGAGUCAUGGAGUAUGUUCUUCUCAUUGUUCAUAUACAAGUUAUGCGAGCACUGCAUGUUUUGCCAAAGAAUAGAAUAGGAAGUGCCAUUAAGGGGUUAUGGAAUUGGCAUAUUCUUACAGCUUACCUUUGGACAUGUGCACUGUUUGAUGAGUCAUGCUGUGUUUAAGCAUGUGGAGGGUCACCUGCGGAUGGAAGGUCCAUUUAUGUUUGUAAACAUGUAUUUUGUGUACAUAUUUCUUAUGUGACUUUGUAUUUCCGUCAAUAAAACGAAAGAUGUA